GGGGGGGGCAAGCGUUGUUCGGAAUUACUGGGCGUAAAGGGCGCGCAGGCGGACGGGAUAGUCUCUCGUGAAAGCCCACGGCUCAACCGUGGAAUUGCGGGGGAUACUACUCGUCUUGAGUCCGGGAGAGGAGUGUGGAAUUCCCAGUGUAGCGGUGAAAUGCGUAGAUAUUGGGAGGAACACCGGUGGCGAAGGCGGCACUCUGGACCGGUACUGACGCUGAGGCGCGAAAGCUAGGGGAGCAAACGGGAUUAGAUACCCCGGGUAGUCCUAGCUGUAAACGAUGAGCACUUGGUGUAGCGGGUAUCGACCCCCCUGCUGUGCCGAAGCUAACGCAUUAAGUGCUCCGCCUGGGGAGUACGGUCGCAAGCUG
This 373-nucleotide ribosomal RNA is filed under the name uncultured organism. RNAcentral's name for it is "partial 16S ribosomal RNA". It matches the Rfam family "Bacterial small subunit ribosomal RNA", at positions 527 to 896 of the family's 1533-position model. The record is from RNAcentral.